GACGAACGCUGGCGGCGUGCUUAACACAUGCAAGUCGAGCGGUAAGGCCCUUUCGGGGGUACACGAGCGGCGAACGGGUGAGUAACACGUGGGUGACCUGCCCUUAGCUCUGGGAUAAGCCUGGGGAAACUGGGUCUAAUACCGGAUAUGACUCCAUGACGCAUGUUGUGGGGUGGAAAGCCUUGUGCGGCUAGGGAUGGGCCCGCGGCCUAUCAGCUUGUUGGUGGGGUGAUGGCCACCAAGGCGACGACGGGUAGCCGGCCUGAGAGGGCGACCGGCCACACUGGGACUGAGACACGGCCCAGACUCCUACGGGAGGCAGCAGUGGGGAAUCUUGCGCAAUGGGCGAAAGCCUGACGCAGCGACGCCGCGUGGGGAUGACGGCCUCGG
This 390-nucleotide ribosomal RNA is filed under the name uncultured bacterium. Its description in RNAcentral is "bacterial SSU rRNA". It matches the Rfam family "Bacterial small subunit ribosomal RNA", at positions 28 to 420 of the family's 1533-position model. The record is from RNAcentral.